GCCAUAUGUUGUUUGCACAUUAUCAAGAUUUAUCAUGACUCAAACAGCUGCAAUAAUGUGAUGUAGAGUUCCUAGGUCACUACUGCUAGAUAUCAUGCCGUUAUCCGAACUACGGAAAUCAAUGUCAAAUGUGAUGUAACUGCGAGCAAUGGAACUGCAGUUUUGUUACUGGAUGUGAGGAUGGGUCACCAACGAUAUCACCAAGCACUACAAAAACGUCUUUUACCGUAUAUUCAUUGACUAAAACUCAGUGUGUCAAGAACGGCUUAAC
This is a long non-coding RNA of Ostrea edulis (European flat oyster), 271 nucleotides long. RefSeq lists it as uncharacterized. The transcript has 3 exons. Lineage: Eukaryota; Metazoa; Mollusca; Bivalvia; Ostreida; Ostreidae. The record is from RefSeq and is a predicted model, not a curated record.